AGCAUCAGUUUUCAAGAUGGUGGAACUGUCGCCCCGGUUUUCCUCCAAAAUCGGACGCCUCGGUGGCAACAUGUGUGGGGCGUCUG
Molecule: non-coding RNA, 86 nt
Organism: Drosophila ananassae
Lineage: Eukaryota; Metazoa; Arthropoda; Insecta; Diptera; Drosophilidae
Source: Rfam